CCUACGGGAGGCAGCAGUGGGGAAUCUUGCGCAAUGGGCGAAAGCCUGACGCAGCAACGCCGCGUGCGGGAAGAAGGCCUUAGGGUUGUAAACCGCUUUCAGUAGGAGCGAAAAUGACGGUACCUGCAGAAGAAGGUGCGGCCAACUACGUGCCAGCAGCCGCGGUGACACGUAGGCACCAAGCGUUGUCCGGAUUUAUUGGGCGUAAAGAGCUCGUAGGCGGUUCAGUAAGUCGGGUGUGAAAAACUCUGGGCGUUAACCACAGNGCCCGCCC
Molecule: ribosomal RNA, 274 nt
Filed under: uncultured bacterium
Lineage: Bacteria
Description: partial 16S ribosomal RNA
Rfam family: Bacterial small subunit ribosomal RNA
Source: RNAcentral